UUAGGGGGUUUCCGCCCCUUAGUGCUGCAGCUAACGCAUUAAGCACUCCGCCUGGGGAGUACGACCGCAAGGUUGAAACUCAAAGGAAUUGACGGGGGCCCGCACAAGCGGUGGAGCAUGUGGUUUAAUUCGAAGCAACGCGAAGAACCUUACCAGGUCUUGACAUCCUUUGACCACUCUGGAGACAGAGCUUUCCCUUCGGGGACAAAGUGACAGGUGGUGCAUGGUUGUCGUCAGCUCGUGUCGUGAGAUGUUGGGUUAAGUCCCGCAACGAGCGCAACCCUUGAUUUUAGUUGCCAGCAUUUAGUUGGGCACUCUAAAGUGACUGCCGGUGCAAGCCGGAGGAAGGUGGGGAUGACGUCAAAUCAUCAUGCCCCUUAUGACCUGGGCUACACACGUGCUACAAUGGAUAGUACAAAGGGUCGCGAAGCCGCGAGGUGGAGCUAAUCCCAUAAAACUAUUCUCAGUUCGGAUUGUAGGCUGCAACUCGCCUACAUGAAGCCGGAA
RNAcentral lists this ribosomal RNA (507 nucleotides) under Listeria monocytogenes. RNAcentral describes it as "bacterial SSU rRNA". It matches the Rfam family "Bacterial small subunit ribosomal RNA", at positions 823 to 1331 of the family's 1533-position model. Lineage: Bacteria; Bacillati; Bacillota; Bacilli; Caryophanales; Listeriaceae. The record is from RNAcentral.